UUGGGCGGAUUUCCAUUUAUUUUGGCGUAUUUUGAAAUACGUUGAAAUAUGCACAGAAAUGGCAGGUGGGAGAUUUGCUGCAGCGGUGUAUUUGAGCUUUAGCAUAGCCAUUUCAAUCUUACGCAGCUGGGGAUCUCGAUGGCGUAUAAGGAGGACAUAUUUGCCUGACACACGCUCCUUCUCUUCUUACAAGCUUACAUUUUGGUGAACUGGUAAAAUGGAACACCAGUUUACCCAGUGAGGACACACUUCAUAAUCUUGUGGACAGACAGGAAAAUGUUUCACCAAGAGGUCAAUGACCAUGUGGAUGGAGGAUGACCAACAUCAAGAUCCUGUCAUGGCCAGAUCAAUCUCCAGACCUGAACCUCAUCAGAAACAUCUGAAAUGUGAUCAGGAGGAAUAUGGAAGGUCUCAAACCAUCAAACAAAGCUGAGCUGCUUGAUUCUUUGCAUCAGGAGGGGCAUAAAUUAUUGCAUUAAAUCUUGAUGUUUUGAAUGUUUUGAAUGUCUCUUAGUGUAUGCUAAUUUGGUCAAGUCUCUUGCAAAUUGCUCUGGGUGAGAUGGCGGAGGUGAAAAGGAUACGCUGUUGUAUCCUUGCUUAAGAAACCUCCUGCCUCCUUGAUUCGCAUUUAAAGAAUUUAGACGCUCUUGUGGAUGGCCAAGUCAACCAGUGAGUCAUGUAUUAAAAAACAUUAAUAAUUAGCACUUUGAUAUGUGAGAUUUUUUAAUCUGCAAACAGAAAACAUGAAACAGGUUGAAUCUCAGCUCUGCUACCGGCAGGCUGGGCGCCUACGCGAACAAUGAUUGGCCUGUUCGCAGGGAGGGUGUCGGAGGGGAUUCCUCAUAACUGAUGUUACCUCUGUGUUACAACAGCGAUGCUCAUUUCAGUAAUAGUUACCCACAGAAGCUGUCUCCCCUCUGAACCUCUAACCAUUAACUCGGUUCUGCUUGUAAAUAAUUCUCUUUGGUCCCAGCAACUAAGCUUGGACUGAGACUCACAUUCUCAUGUGCACAUGUUUUCUCCUCUACAUAAACUCCAUCCUCCCUGUAAUAAACUGGAAGCUUUC
Trichomycterus rosablanca is the source of this 1066-nucleotide long non-coding RNA. RefSeq lists it as uncharacterized. The transcript is spliced from 3 exons. Lineage: Eukaryota; Metazoa; Chordata; Actinopteri; Siluriformes; Trichomycteridae. The record is from RefSeq and is a predicted model, not a curated record.